RNAcentral lists this ribosomal RNA (459 nucleotides) under uncultured bacterium. RNAcentral's name for it is "partial 16S ribosomal RNA". It matches the Rfam family "Bacterial small subunit ribosomal RNA", at positions 338 to 795 of the family's 1533-position model. The record is from RNAcentral.
CCUACGGGAGGCAGCAGUGAGGAAUAUUGGUCAAUGGCCGAGAGGCUGAACCAGCCAAGUCGCGUGAGGGAAGACGGCCCUCCGUGUUGUAAACUUCUUUUGUCGGGGAGUAAAGAGAGUCACGUGUGACUCAUUGAGAGUAUCCGAAGAAAAAGCAUCGGCUAACACCGUGUCAGCGGCCGCGGUAAUACGGAGGAUGCGGGCGUUAUCCGGUUUUAUUGGGUUUAAGGGGUGCGUAGGGGGAAUGCAAUGUCUGCGGUAAAAGCGUGGGGCUAAACCUCGCUCGGCUGUUGAAACUGGCGGUCUUGAGUGGGCGAGAGGUAUGCGGAAUGCGUGGUGUAGCGGUGAAAUGCGUAGAUAUCACGAAGAACUCCGAUUGCGAAGGCAGCAUACCGGCGCGCAACUGACGCUGAGGCACGAAAGCGUGGGUAUCGAACAGGAUUAGAUACCCGGGUAGUC